GAAUGCCGUGUGCGAUGAAAGUUGCAUGCACGGUGUGGAGCAGGGGAAAAGGCAGAGAUAACCUCAAAGCCUUACCUAUUGCUAU
Non-coding RNA from Bacillus sp. MRMR6, 85 nucleotides. Lineage: Bacteria; Bacillati; Bacillota; Bacilli; Caryophanales; Bacillaceae. The record is from Rfam.